UUACGACGAAGUUACCAGGCCCGCGUUUUUUCAUUCACGACGAAGUUACCAGGCCUGCGUUUUUCGAUUUACGACGAAAUUACGUCGAAACGUCAGUUUACGACGAAUUUACUAGGCCCUUGUUUACGACGAAGUUACCAGGCCCGCUUUUUUCCAUUUACGACGAAGUUACCAGGCCCGCGUUUUUCGAUUUACGACGAAAUUACGUCGAAACGUUGGUUUACGACGAAUUUACCAGGCCCUUGUUUACGACGAAGUUACCAGGCCCGCGUUUUUCCAUUUACGACGAAAUUACGUGGAAUAGAUACAUUUACGACGAUUUUACAACGGUUAACCCUAAACACCGAGAAUGAAAUCCCUAAACCCCAAAGUCACAU
This 377-nucleotide long non-coding RNA is filed under the name Brassica napus (rape). RNAcentral's name for it is "long non-coding RNA (BNAP_LNC010197)". The record is from RNAcentral. Lineage: Eukaryota; Viridiplantae; Streptophyta; Magnoliopsida; Brassicales; Brassicaceae.